Molecule: transfer RNA, 70 nt
Filed under: Lithobates vibicarius (Rancho Redondo frog)
Lineage: Eukaryota; Metazoa; Chordata; Amphibia; Anura; Ranidae
Description: Rana vibicaria (Rancho Redondo frog) tRNA-Val
Rfam family: tRNA
About the family: Transfer RNA (tRNA) molecules are approximately 80 nucleotides in length. Their secondary structure includes four short double-helical elements and three loops (D, anti-codon, and T loops).
Source: RNAcentral
ACAAGAUGUAGCUUAAUAAAAGCCCCUCGUUUACACCGAAGAAAUGUCUGUUUAAGUCAGAUCGUCUUGA